Molecule: unclassified non-coding RNA, 225 nt
Filed under: Hevea brasiliensis (rubber tree)
Lineage: Eukaryota; Viridiplantae; Streptophyta; Magnoliopsida; Malpighiales; Euphorbiaceae
Source: RNAcentral
CUCUUUCCCAAAGAAUUUGAUCCUGUAAUAGGAAAUAUAGGGUUGCCACUGCAUUCUACACCUCGUUUAAACUCUGCAGGACACAGCCACAAAUAUUAUACACACAGGAGGCUUUUUCUAUCAUGUAGAUACAUUCCAAGCAUGUCUCCACACACACGUUACAUGAACCACCUAGAUCCAAUUCAGUUUCAGCUCAGCUUGUUUGAAGUAUGAUUCAACUGACUG